AACGAACGCUGGCGGCAGGCUUAACACAUGCAAGUCGAGCGCAUCCUUCGGGGUGAGCGGCAGACGGGUGAGUAACGCGUGGGAACGUACCCUUUCCUCUGGAAUAGCUCCGGGAAACUGGAAUUAAUACCGUAUACGCCCUUAGGGGGCAAGAUUUAUCGGGGAAGGAUCGGCCCGCGUUGGAUUAGCUAGUUGGUGGGGUAAAGGCCUACCAAGGCGACGAUCCAUAUCUGGUCUGAGAGGAUGCUCAGCAACAUUGGGACUGAGACACGGCCCAAACUCCUACUGGAGGCAGCAGUGGGGAAUAUUGGACAAUGGGCGCAAGCCUGAUCCAGCCAUGCCGCGUGAGUGAUGAAUGCCUUAGGGUUGUAAAGCUCUUUCAGUAGGGAAGAUAAUGACGGUACCUACAGAAGUAGCCCCGGCUAACUUCGUGCCAGCCGCCGCCGUAA
RNAcentral lists this ribosomal RNA (449 nucleotides) under uncultured bacterium. RNAcentral describes it as "partial 16S ribosomal RNA". It matches the Rfam family "Bacterial small subunit ribosomal RNA", at positions 29 to 523 of the family's 1533-position model. The record is from RNAcentral.